RNAcentral lists this transfer RNA (70 nucleotides) under Sphaerodactylus townsendi. RNAcentral's name for it is "tRNA-Ala". Lineage: Eukaryota; Metazoa; Chordata; Lepidosauria; Squamata; Sphaerodactylidae. The record is from RNAcentral.
GAUGUGGCUCAGCUGGCAGGGCAUCUGUUUGGCAUGCCAAAGGUUCCAAGUUCAAUCCCUGGCAUAUACA